Molecule: long non-coding RNA, 977 nt
Filed under: Musa acuminata (dwarf banana)
Lineage: Eukaryota; Viridiplantae; Streptophyta; Magnoliopsida; Zingiberales; Musaceae
Description: long non-coding RNA (MACU_LNC001506)
Source: RNAcentral
GCAAGAAAGCCUUCCUCCUGAACAUGGCUGUGAACUGCUCGCUAACCCUCCUGAACAUCUCUUGGAUGGAUGUCGAGUUCCCAAUAAAAGUGGAGGCCAUUUUGAGCCCUUUCGGUGGAAUGUCACACACGCUAGACUUGACAUUGUUUGGUAUCCACUCCACGAAAUAGGAAGAGUUCUUAUUCUGAACAUUGAGCAUCUGCUCAUCGACUUCCUUUGUGCUCAUCUUCCCACGGAACAUGGCUGAGGCAGUUAAGUACCGGCCAUGGCGGGGGUCAGCAGCACACAUCAUGUUCUUGGCAUCCCACAUUUGCUGGGUCAAUUCAGGUACUGUGAGGGCCCGGUACUGUUGUGAACCCCUUGAGGUCAGGGGUGCAAACCCUACCAUAAAGAAGUGGAGGCGGGGGAAUGGGAUGAGGUUUACAGCAAGCUUCCGGAGGUCAGAAUUUAGCUGCCCAGGGAACCUAAGGCAGCAUGUGACGCCACUCAUUGUAGCAGAGAUUAAGUGAUUGAGAUCGCCAACUAAAAUAUAAUGAAACAUCAAAAAACCAUCAGUGAGCAAUAAUGUAAUGACAAAGAAUUGAAAGUGUGCAAACUGGAACAACAUUUUAACUCAAGAAAAUAGAAACAUUUGAUCAUGAUUCAAGAAGCAUAUGGAGAAGAAAAUUAAAUAAAUGGAUUUAUAUAUGAAUUUUGGAUAUUUAGUAAACAAAAUAUGCCAUGUUUACGUACAAAAAGAAAGAAACAGAUAAAAAGGAAAAAAGGAGUGAAGAAAUCGAUCCUUAUAUAAAAUUACUAGCAAAUGAAAACUUUAGCAAACUUUAGAAGUAUAAAAUGAAGAAGCAUAUGAUUAAUUUCAGACCAAAAAGAGAAGAGCAUCAGAGUAUCAACAUUUUAUUCAUUUAGAGAAUAGUCAUAAAAAUCAUAAUUACAACAAGAAUGUAAAAGAAUCAAUGAAGAUGCAAGCAUUACUUACA